Molecule: long non-coding RNA, 1666 nt
Organism: Syngnathus acus (greater pipefish)
Lineage: Eukaryota; Metazoa; Chordata; Actinopteri; Syngnathiformes; Syngnathidae
Exons: 3
Source: RefSeq, a predicted model, not a curated record
UGCGGCGUAAGGCGAGGGUUGGUGGAGGGAGGGGCUUGUUGUCCUAUCAAGUCUCCCCAUGCGUACCAGAUAAGGACUAGUCAAGAAACAGGAAGUGAGCGGGGCUUUUACGGGCUUACUUCCUGCGUGUGGAACCAGUGAUAUGACCCCUGUGUGGGCGUCAAAUGAUACUAUGGAGUCACAAAGAGGAUCUUAUGGAGGACUAUUGUUUAUUCCAACCACAAUGCCAGUGUCUAAAUUUAGUUGUGAGGUAAAUUAUCUGGAUUAGAAGGAAAACCCAGCAAAGGGAUCAUUUUUGAGAUGUCCAGGAACCUUUGUAGGGCUUAAGUGAGUGUUUAAGUGCCGAGAAUUCAACGGUUUCAGAACUUGAGGUGGCAUUUGAGAGGUCCACGAACCCACGGGAAGGAGCUUUCAGUAUUGAUCCAAUCGCUAGAGGUUCUUAGAAGUCUAGGAGCUUUAGGAGCAGAGAUUCCAGCCCUGGGUUUUAUAGUUCAAGGAACUACAAGAACUUCCACUGGAAAAAAAAAAAAUCUUAAAACUUUAGACAGCAUAUGAUCAGCACAUACGGUACUCCUCACCUAAGGCAUUUUCUCAAGACCAUCGUCAGAAUAAAGUUUUGGACCUCGUAUAGGAACAGGAAGCGAGCUGGCUUUUUACGGACCAACUUCCUGCAUGUGGACCGAGUGAUAUGACCUACCGAAUAGCCCCGUGGAGUCAUUUCCUGGAGGUGGCGGGGUGACUUCCUGAAAUAGUCUGACCCCCACGUGCAUGUGUGAGUGUGUUUGUGUCAGGAGGUUAUCUCAGGUGAGCAUCUCUUAUCUCUUUGAGUUUCACUGACUCGCAGCAGCAGCAGAUGAUCAAGUUACGUCCUCAUGUAUUUGUUAUCUGGCACUGGCUUUCCUCUAAACACGCAACUCACCCAGGUCUUUAUCUCCCCACUUCAAGCCCGAAAGCUGCUAUCCAUGUCAAAGAGAGCAUACAUGGGGAGUGGGAUUAGGCCUUAGGGGAGGUAAUGGAAGCUCUACGCCGGACCACUGUGACGGACGGGCCUAAUAAUAAACAACAACAGAAGAGAGCAGAAUCCAGCUGGCACCACCACUUCCUAUUUCUUCAUCAAGUUUUACCAGGACGGGUGGAUGUGUCGCUACCGUCGCAGUUUUGCCAUCCCGGACCCCCGCGUGUCAGGAAAUCCUGGAUUUCCUCAACAUGGACCCCCCUCUCGACUGGCUUAAGAGUGUAGGAUGAUGAUGGCGCUAAUCUCUUCAUCAAACGGCUAAAUAAACAUUUGAGCAAGUGUGUGUGAGGCAAGAGGCAUUGAGUGCAAAUGUGGACAAAAGACAAAGCACUUAGUCCAUCAAUCAGUUGUGGCGGGGGUCGAGAUUGUGUCAUCGGUCUGGAUUGUUUUUGAAAAGUUCCGGAAACUGGGUGGCUGUCACCAUACCAAAAUGAUGACUUUGAUACUAAACUGGAAAAAAAUAGCAUUAGCAUUAAGCUAAUAGACUGAUACUCGACAAUAAUUCUUUUGGUGCUUAAAUAUGCGGUCCAAUGUUUAUUUUUUAUUUUGGAUGUCUGAUUCAUAGACUUUGUCUUCCAUAGCAGCAUCAGAUGUCUCUCAAUGUUUGCCAUACUGGCGCCGGGGCGGAGUAAAGUAUGCUACAGUCUACCA